This 447-nucleotide ribosomal RNA is filed under the name uncultured bacterium. Its description in RNAcentral is "bacterial SSU rRNA". It matches the Rfam family "Bacterial small subunit ribosomal RNA", at positions 355 to 825 of the family's 1533-position model. The record is from RNAcentral.
UCGGGAAUUUUGGGCAAUGGGCGAAAGCCUGACCCAGCAACGCCGCGUGAAGGAUGAAGUAUUUCGGUAUGUAAACUUCGAAAGAAUAGGAAGAAUAAAUGACGGUACUAUUUAUAAGGUCCGGCUAACUACGUGCCAGCAGCCGCGGUAAUACGUAGGGACCAAGCGUUGUUCGGAUUUACUGGGCGUAAAGGGCGCGUAGGCGGUUUGUCAAGUCAGUUGUGAAAUCUCCGAGCUUAACUCGGAACGGUCAACUGAUACUGUCAAACUAGAGUACAGAAGGGGCAAUCGGAAUUCUUGGUGUAGCGGUGAAAUGCGUAGAUAUCAAGAGGAACACCUGAGGCGAAGGCGGGUUGCUGGGCUGAUACUGACGCUGAAGCGCGAAAGCUAGGGUAGCAAACGGGAUUAGAUACCCCUGUAGUCCCUGAGCGGGCUGGCAAGGCGCAU